Molecule: non-coding RNA, 21 nt
Filed under: Caenorhabditis elegans
Lineage: Eukaryota; Metazoa; Nematoda; Chromadorea; Rhabditida; Rhabditidae
Source: RNAcentral
UUUCAUGUGACCUCAAAUUCG